GCCGAAAUAGCUCAGUUGGGAGAGCGUUAGACUGAAGAUCUAAAGGUCCCUGGUUCGAUCCCUAGUUUCGGCA
Ctenocephalides felis (cat flea) is the source of this 73-nucleotide non-coding RNA. NCBI's taxonomy places the organism in Eukaryota, Metazoa, Arthropoda, Insecta, Siphonaptera, Pulicidae. The record is from the annotation of a RefSeq genome assembly.